AUAUGGGGAGACAACAGGGAUUGCCCCAGUAACGGCGAGUGAAGCGGCAACAGCUCAAAUUUGAAAUCUGGCCCCCAGGGUCCGAGUUGUAAUUUGUAGAGGAUGCUUUUGGCGAGGUGCCUUCCGAGUUCCCUGGAACGGGACGCCACAGAGGGUGAGAGCCCCGUCUGGUCGGCCACCGAGCCUCUGUAAAGCUCCUUCGACGAGUCGAGUAGUUUGGGAAUGCUGCUCAAAAUGGGAGGUAUAUGUCUUCUAAAGCUAAAUACUGGCCAGAGACCGAUAGCGCACAAGUAGAGUGAUCGAAAGAUGAAAAGCACUUUGAAAAGAGGGUUAAAAAGUACGUGAAAUUGUUGAAAGGGAAGCGCCUAUGACCAGACUUGGGCCCGGUGAAUCAUCCAGCGUUCUCGCUGGUGCACUUCGCCGGGCACAGGCCAGCAUCAGUUUGGCGCGGGGGACAAAGGCUCUGGGAAUGUGGCUCCCCCGGGAGUGUUAUAGCCCACCGCGUAAUACCCUGCGCCGGACUGAGGUACGCGCAUUCGCAAGGAUGCUGGCGUAAUGGUCAUCAGCGACCCGUCUUGAAACACGGACCAAGGAGUCGUCUUCGUAUGCGAGUGUUCGGGUGUCAAACCCCUACGCGUAAUGAAAGUGAACGUAGGUGAGAGCUUCGGCGCAUCACCGACCGAUCCUGAUGUUCUCGGAUGGAUUUGAGUAAGAGCAUACGGGGCCGGACCCGAAAGAAGGUGAACUAUGCCUGUAUAGGGUGAAGCCAGAGGAAACUCUGGUGGAGGCUCGCAGCGGUUCUGACGUGCGAAUCGAUCGUCAAAUAUGGGCAUGGGGGGCGGAGAGACUAAUCGAACCUUCUAGUAGCUGGUUUCCGCCGAAGUUCCCCCUCCGGGGAAGGG
Molecule: ribosomal RNA, 902 nt
Filed under: Arachnidicola tiankengensis
Lineage: Eukaryota; Fungi; Ascomycota; Sordariomycetes; Hypocreales; Cordycipitaceae
Description: Akanthomyces sp. WC-2022b partial large subunit ribosomal RNA
Rfam family: Eukaryotic large subunit ribosomal RNA
Source: RNAcentral